This 119-nucleotide ribosomal RNA is filed under the name Gossypium arboreum. The record is from RNAcentral. Lineage: Eukaryota; Viridiplantae; Streptophyta; Magnoliopsida; Malvales; Malvaceae.
AAGUACGAUCAUAACAUCACUAAUGCACCGGAUCCCAUGAGAACUCCGCAGUUAAGCGUGCUUGGGCGAGAUUAGUACUAGGAUGGGUGACUUGGUAAGAAAUCCUCGUGUUGCACCCC